Solanum stenotomum is the source of this 267-nucleotide long non-coding RNA. RefSeq lists it as uncharacterized. Lineage: Eukaryota; Viridiplantae; Streptophyta; Magnoliopsida; Solanales; Solanaceae. The transcript is spliced from 2 exons. The record is from RefSeq and is a predicted model, not a curated record.
CCCAUGUCGCCGCAAUCCAAACAUUUCACCCAAUCAUUCAAUCGGUAGGAGCGACGGGCGGUGUGUACAAAGGGCAUGUACAUAGUCAACGCGAGCUGAUGACUCGCGCUUAAUAGGAAUUCCUCGUUGAAGAACAACAAUUGCAAUGAUCUAUCCCCAUCACGAUGAAAUUUCAAAGAUUACCCGGGCCUGUCGGCCAAGGCUAUAAGCUCGUUGAAUACAUUAGUGUAGCACGUGUGCGGCCCAGAACAUCUAAGGGCAUCACAG